CGGGGUAACGCGUGGGUAACCUGCCUCAUACAGGGGGAUAACAGUUAGAAAUGACUGCUAAUACCGCAUAAGCGCACAGCAUCGCAUGAUGCCGUGUGAAAAACUCCGGUGGUAUGAGAUGGACCCGCGUCUGAUUAGCUAGUUGGUGAGGUAACGGCCCACCAAGGCGACGAUCAGUAGCCGGCCUGAGAGGGUGAACGGCCACAUUGGGACUGAGACACGGCCCAA
This 228-nucleotide ribosomal RNA is filed under the name uncultured bacterium. Its description in RNAcentral is "partial 16S ribosomal RNA". It matches the Rfam family "Bacterial small subunit ribosomal RNA", at positions 103 to 334 of the family's 1533-position model. The record is from RNAcentral.